This 430-nucleotide long non-coding RNA is filed under the name Androctonus crassicauda. The record is from RNAcentral. Lineage: Eukaryota; Metazoa; Arthropoda; Arachnida; Scorpiones; Buthidae.
UUAGCGGCGGACUCCCAUGCUGUCGGUAAUUCCCUGGGGUCAUUAUUGUUAAUCACAUUCCCAUUUUUUCUCCUCUUCUCGAUUUCGGGGGGCUCUCUCAGUAGGAUUUGCUUGCUGUUGUCAAUUCUCUUAGUGAUUUUUGUUUUGUCCCAUGCGACAUCGAUGUCCGAUGCGUGGAACUCUUGUGCCGGGGCUGUGUUUGGUUUUCCUUUCUUUGGAUCGUCCUUGUGCUCCUUUGGCCUUUCUGCUAAUGUGCGUGUUGUGGCUCCUACAUGUUCUUUGUUUUGGCUUGAUUUCUUAUCAUACAAUGGAAUGCUAUAUAUGCCUGCUUUAUUUUUGUCCUCUAAGCAAUCUUUAUUGUUCCUUAGGUAGGAGAAAACUGUAGGGCCUCUUUUAAUAGCUAUUUUUCUUUUGGACAUCUUCACUACUU